Molecule: long non-coding RNA, 214 nt
Filed under: Lathyrus oleraceus (garden pea)
Lineage: Eukaryota; Viridiplantae; Streptophyta; Magnoliopsida; Fabales; Fabaceae
Description: Pisum sativum (pea) long non-coding RNA (PSAT_LNC009083)
Source: RNAcentral
AUACUACCUUGUAAUUGAGGAGUAUGUAAAAAUACUUCUUAUAGAAUGAAAUGCUUUUUAUUACUUGUUUGAGGUGUAUCUGUAGGAUCCUUAUUGCAUAUCUUUGAAUCUUUACAAACUUACAAGGUAUUCCCUUGAAGUUAAUUGGAUGUCACUGGUGUAAUACUCGAGGCCGAUGAGGGCGGGGAGUGGUCGUCGGUGCAUAAUGCAUAAC